UACGUAGGCAGCGAACGUUGUUCGGAGUUACUGGGCGUAAAGGGUGUGUAGGCGGUUUUCUAAGUUUGGUGUGAAAUCUCCCGCUCAACCGGGAGGGUGCGCCGAAAACUGGGAGACUAGAGUGCGGGAUGGGAGAGUAGAAUUCCUGGUGUAGCGGUGAAAUGCGUAGAUAUCAGGAGGAAUACCGGUGGUGUGGACGGCUCUCUGGACCGCCACUGACGCUGAGACACGAAAGCGUGGGUAGCAAACAGG
RNAcentral lists this ribosomal RNA (252 nucleotides) under uncultured bacterium. Its description in RNAcentral is "partial 16S ribosomal RNA". It matches the Rfam family "Bacterial small subunit ribosomal RNA", at positions 524 to 776 of the family's 1533-position model. The record is from RNAcentral.